CUCCUCCAAUCCCCUUCUCCUCGAGGAUCUCUGGUGGCGCGAUUCUCCAUGUCCACCUCCUCCCCGACCUCGUCGCCGCCUUCCGCCGCUGACGCCGACGGGGGCAGGGCCCGCUGCAUCUCGCCGCCGUCCUCCCGGAGGAAGGGAUCCCCCAAACGCAGCGGCAGCGUCGCCCGCAAGAUUCGCUCGAUACCCCUCUUCCCGCCUCUUUCUGUGUCUUGUGCGAUCCGAUUGGAACUCUGGGACUCUGGGUGGCUCCUCUGGUUUCGAGCGCCAGUUCCGCACGGGGAGUUUUUUGGGUGCCCUUGGGCAAGCGGUGGUUUCGUUCGAUGUACGGCCACAGAUCGGCCCCUCCUCCUACGUUCUUCCUCCUCCUCCCAUACACUCUUCCUCCUCGCCCUCCUCUGUGAUUUUCCCCCUAGCCCGUUCAUCCCCUGCAGCCUUCCCUAACCCUAGAUCGAUGGGAUCGCCGCCAUCUCAUCUCCUCUACCCACAUACGGCGGGAGUAGCAGUAAAGACCGCCAUGGGUUGCUACUCUGUGGGCGGGCAUCCAGUACACCCCGACGGUGCCGCAGAUUGGUCCUUCCUCCUACGUGCUUCCUCCUCGCUCCUGGGGUUUCCCUACCGGUGCCGCGACAUCGAGGCCCUCAGCACCCUCAGCAUUUCAGCAACUUCCUCUUCUACAGAGAGGACAAGCUCAGCCUCCUGCACACCAUCGUCAGCAAGGCCCGGGCUACCAUGAGCACAUCGUGGAUAUAUCACCCAGGUCUUUAUACUUCUAAACAAUCCAAUGCAUCUUGCAAAGGAACGGAUGGAGGAAAUCAAUUCACAACGCUUGUCGCAAAAAUUCGACCUGAAAUCGCCGUGCUUGCGAUAUAAUGAAGAGAAUUGCGGCAAACUUGCUAAUCUGGUACGUCAGGUUUGAAUUCUUCAGGAACUGCAAAUUUGCUUGUGGUUAUGUAUACCUCUCUUAUUCUCUUUUUAUACUGCAAAUGGUAGCUAACCCCUGGAAGAUACUUAUGAACACUUAAAUGCCAUAUUCGUUACUGAAUCAGUGGUAUCCAUGUCCUUCUUUACAGCUGAGAUGAUAUGUACUAUUCGAAAAAAAGCUGAGAUCAUGUGUAUUCCAGAAAAAAUGCCCAAAUCACAGCAUGAGAUUCCUUUUUGUUUUACUUAAUUCCUAUCGUGUAAGAUUUACAGCAAUGCAAUGCACGAUUUUUUGCUUCCAUCCAUAUUUAUUUAAAUUUUCCUUUUCCUGAAUUGACAAACUAUUUGUUCAAACUUAACUAUACUUUUCCUCAAGUGCGAUUUUAAUGUUCUCAGCAUGGGUUUUCACUUCAUGUGGGCAUUUCCUGAUAGAAUGAAUUUGUACAAAAUUAUGUUCUUUUGAGCUGUGACAAGGAUCCGGGAUGUUUUCAGUGAUGCUAUAUAGUUCACAGAUGCAAUGGCCGUGAGCUUGAGUAAAUGACAUUGUUCAGUUCAUAUUUGAUUCUAAUGGUUGUACUUCCAUGUCACAGGCUUGUCCAAUGUAAACUCCGAGAAUUUCAUGUGCUUAUUUUGCUACUAUGGAGAAGUUCAUCCAUUCACCGGCGCGCUAGGUUUUUGAACACGUUCAGUUGUACACUUGCAGUAUGUAUAUUAAAGGGGCAGCUCAUCUGUUAAAGUUGUAGUGCAGUGUAGGUAAAAGAGGCUUCUGGGUUAUAUACAUUCUCUUCCUUUUAAUUGUGCUACACCGCUGCUGCACUCAUUAUGAUGUUCAAAUCUUAAAUUUUGACUGUUGUGUUUUUAUUAUCUUAGUAUAAGGGGUAUGGGUUUUAUAUGUCUUGUUUCUCUGUUUUUGGGCUUUUCUUUUAAAUUGCUGGAUUGGGUAUUGCUCAUGGUCUCUAUAUUUAUUAUUCUCAUUUUCAUAUACUAGGGACUUUGUUUCUAAAACUGAUUCUGGAUAAUUGAGAGUUAUUUACGGUCUGUUACAUGUAUUUAUUGGGUAUAGGAUUUGCAAAGCUACUACUCUACGGUAAAAGCAUGUGUGGUUUAUAUUAUUCUUAGCUGCAAAUGUGCAUCACCUUGAGACGUGAACAGUAGCUACAUAUAUGAAGGCUUAGUACUAGCUGCAGCUGUGAGCAGCACUAAAAUUCUAUCCAAUGGCUUACCGUGUGUGUGAGAGAGGAGAGAGGGACUUGUAACAACACUUCUAUAUUGUGCAUUUUCAAAUUGGCACUUUUAUUUUUACACAAGAAAAAAUAGAGUUUUCUCUUUCAACAUUUAUUUUUGUUAUUGUGAGCAUAUAAAUUGAGGUCCCAUAUUCCAUAUUUGAUGAGUGGCUUCCGGCUGAACAUCUAUCUACAUGGCUACAUGUCCUUCCUGCAUGUAUCUAAUCUAAUAUUAUUAUGAUCUGAAAUCCGAAACAGAAGUUUAUGAGUUGCAUGUUGCAACUAAUUUACCUCAACAUCAUCCUAUUUAUUUAUUAUAUUCUUCUUUUGGUUUGAUGUGUUCUAUGUACGUCUACAGCUGGAAAGUCCUUUUGGAUCAUGGGCACCAGUGCCCUCAUUGUAUUAA
Molecule: long non-coding RNA, 2556 nt
Organism: Lolium perenne
Lineage: Eukaryota; Viridiplantae; Streptophyta; Magnoliopsida; Poales; Poaceae
Source: RefSeq, a predicted model, not a curated record